CCUAGGGCAAACUUCGUGAUUGGGACUAAGUCGUAACAAGGUAGCCGUAGGUGAACCUGCAGAAGGAUCA
RNAcentral lists this ribosomal RNA (70 nucleotides) under uncultured eukaryote. RNAcentral describes it as "partial small subunit ribosomal RNA". The record is from RNAcentral.